GCCGGAAAAAGGGGGUGCCUCCGUGGGGGCGGCUGAGAUUAUACCCAAUGAACCUGAUACGGUCAAUACCGUCGUAGGGAUUUUUUCUGAGUAUAUU
This 97-nucleotide non-coding RNA is filed under the name Alistipes sp. CAG:157. Its description in RNAcentral is "TPP riboswitch aptamer (THI element)". It matches the Rfam family "TPP riboswitch aptamer (THI element)". Rfam says of the family: Vitamin B(1) in its active form thiamin pyrophosphate (TPP) is an essential coenzyme that is synthesised by coupling of pyrimidine and thiazole moieties in bacteria. The previously detected thiamin-regulatory element, thi box was extended, resulting in a new, highly conserved RNA secondary structure, the THI element, which is widely distributed in eubacteria and also occurs in some archaea. RNAcentral also lists the same sequence under 1 other name. The record is from Rfam by way of RNAcentral. Lineage: Bacteria; Pseudomonadati; Bacteroidota; Bacteroidia; Bacteroidales; Rikenellaceae.